RNAcentral lists this non-coding RNA (32 nucleotides) under Homo sapiens (human). Lineage: Eukaryota; Metazoa; Chordata; Mammalia; Primates; Hominidae. The record is from RNAcentral.
AGCAGCUAUCUUUAGAAGGAGCCAUGUGCCUA